Molecule: ribosomal RNA, 494 nt
Filed under: uncultured Acholeplasma sp.
Lineage: Bacteria; Bacillati; Mycoplasmatota; Mollicutes; Acholeplasmatales; Acholeplasmataceae
Description: bacterial SSU rRNA
Rfam family: Bacterial small subunit ribosomal RNA
Source: RNAcentral
CCCGCUCAGAAACUACGAAAGGAAGUUGACGGGACCCCGGACACAAGCGGUGGAUCAUGUUGUUUAAUUCGAUGAUACGCGAAGAACCUUACCAGGUCUUGACAUCCCCCGCGAUGCUUUAGAGAUAAAGCGGAGGUAUUCGGGGAGACAGGUGGUGCAUGGUUGUCGUCAGCUCGUGUCGUGAGAUGUUGGGUUAAGUCCCGCAACGAGCGCAACCCCUAUUGCUAGUUACCAUCAUUAAGUUGGGGACUCUAGCGAGACUGCCAGUGAUAAACUGGAGGAAGGUGGGGAUGACGUCAAAUCAUCAUGCCCCUUAUGACCUGGGCUACAAACGUGAUACAAUGGCUGGAACAAAGGGAUGCGAAGCAGUGAUGUGGAGCGAAACCCAUAAAAACAGUCUCAGUUCGGAUUGAAGUCUGCAACUCGACUUCAUGAAGUCGGAAUCGCUAGUAAUCGCGGAUCAGAACGCCGCGGUGAAUACGUUCCCGGGCCUU